RNAcentral lists this ribosomal RNA (253 nucleotides) under uncultured bacterium. RNAcentral describes it as "partial 16S ribosomal RNA". It matches the Rfam family "Bacterial small subunit ribosomal RNA", at positions 524 to 776 of the family's 1533-position model. The record is from RNAcentral.
UACGGAGGAUCCGAGCGUUAUCCGGAUUUAUUGGGUUUAAAGGGAGCGCAGGUGGAUUGUUAAGUCAGUUGUGAAAGUUUGCGGCUCAACCGUAAAAUUGCAGUUGAAACUGGCAGUCUUGAGUACAGUAGAGGUGGGCGGAAUUCGUGGUGUAGCGGUGAAAUGCUUAGAUAUCACGAAGAACUCCGAUUGCGAAGGCAGCUCACUAGACUGCAACUGACACUGAUGCUCGAAAGUGUGGGUAUCAAACAGG